Molecule: microRNA precursor, 86 nt
Filed under: Dendroctonus ponderosae (mountain pine beetle)
Lineage: Eukaryota; Metazoa; Arthropoda; Insecta; Coleoptera; Curculionidae
Description: mir-277 microRNA precursor family
Rfam family: mir-277 microRNA precursor family
Source: Rfam by way of RNAcentral
AGCGCCUCCGGCUCCGUGCCAGAGGUGCUUUUGCACAUCCUUCAGCACUAUGUAAAUGCACUAUCUGGUACGACAGCCUGUCGCGU